RNAcentral lists this ribosomal RNA (763 nucleotides) under uncultured prokaryote. Its description in RNAcentral is "bacterial SSU rRNA". It matches the Rfam family "Bacterial small subunit ribosomal RNA", at positions 28 to 809 of the family's 1533-position model. The record is from RNAcentral.
GAUGAACGCUGACAGAAUGCUUAACACAUGCAAGUCGAUUCAAGUUACCUUCGGGUAAUGAGGAUGGCGGACGGGUGAGUAACGCGUAAGGAACUUGCCUCUUGGUCUGGGACAACUGUUGGAAACGACAGCUAAUACCGGAUAUUAUGAGAUUCUCGCAUGGGAAACUUAUGAAAGCUAUAUGCGCCAAGAGAGAGCCUUGCGUUCCAUUAGCUAGUUGGUGGGGUAAUGGCCCACCAAGGCGACGAUGGAUAGCCGGCCUGAGAGGGUGAACGGCCACAAGGGGACUGAGACACGGCCCUUACUCCUACGGGAGGCAGCAGUGGGGAAUAUUGGACAAUGGGCCACAAGCCUGAUCCAGCAAUUCUGUGUGCACGAUGAAGGUCUUCGGAUUGUAAAGUGCUUUCAGUUGGGAAGAAGAAAGUGACGGUACCAACAGAAGAAGCGACGGCUAAAUACGUGCCAGCAGCCGCGGUAAUACGUAUGUCGCAAGCGUUAUCCGGAUUUAUUGGGCGUAAAGCGCGUCUAGGCGGAAAAAUAAGUCUGAUGUUAAAAUGCGGGGCCCAACUCCGUAUUGCGUUGGAAACUGUUUUUCUAGAGUACUGGAGAGGUGGGCGGAACUACAAGUGUAGAGGUGAAAUUCGUAGAUAUUUGUAGGAAUGCCGAUGGAGAAGUCAGCUCACUGGACAGAUACUGACGCUGAAGCGCGAAAGCGUGGGGAGCAAACAGGANUAGAUACCCUGGUAGUCCACGCCGUAAACGA